Molecule: non-coding RNA, 204 nt
Filed under: Bacillus anthracis str. Ames
Lineage: Bacteria; Bacillati; Bacillota; Bacilli; Caryophanales; Bacillaceae
Description: 6S RNA sequence
Rfam family: 6S / SsrS RNA (bases 11-193)
About the family: E. coli 6S RNA was the first non coding RNA to be sequenced, but its function was unknown until recently. It consists of 184 nucleotides that fold into an extended hairpin structure with a large single-stranded internal bulge.
Source: RNAcentral
AAGUAAAUAACACAUCCUGCGGUGUACGUAACUUAUUUAUGUCUAAAACCGAUGUUAGUUAUACGGAAGCUCAAUAUUUAGUGACCAUCAUCAAGCCUUCCUUGUGGAGGAAGAUGUACGGUAACUGUGAGGGCAUCCACCUGCGAGUAGCGGGUUUUUGGACAUUUACGAGGAGCGGCACGUGCGGGGGUCUUAUUUCAACUA